This 2448-nucleotide long non-coding RNA is filed under the name Homo sapiens (human). RNAcentral describes it as "HSALNT0084360". Lineage: Eukaryota; Metazoa; Chordata; Mammalia; Primates; Hominidae. The record is from RNAcentral.
AUUAAGUUGAGGUGCACUGAGGUCUGGAAAUUGCCCUCAGUCAUGCAGCUAAAAAGCAGCAUUUCCAAGUUGUGGACCACAAUCUGAUUUCAAAUGCUAUGCGUGCAUUUAGCCAUUAAGCAUCACCGCGUCCUAUGUUAAUACCCACAGUGAGAGUGAAGAUUCCUUUCAGUGGUUCAGGCAUAAAAUUUGGACAGCUGCCAUUUACUGCCCAUCUGGCAUUUGUCCCCUUGCCUUUACCCUGACUUUCUUUCCAGGAACCACUCUCCUCCACCCUUGUUUAUGGGCCUUACUUGGGGCUGACUCCAUCACUGAAUCCAGGAGUAGUCACAGAAACCCAGGUGUGGCAGUCAACAUAUCCAUUCACCUGAGCAAAAGAGAUAUAUCCAGGGAUAAACAUGAGACCCAAAUUCAUCAAGUCAGAACUAAUCCCAAAACUUCUCACUGGGCAGGCUCUCUGCAGACAGGAUGGUUGCCUGGCAUAUCCAUCUUGCCACCAUGAGAGAAGGACUUCAGCCUGCCCAAGAAUGGAUUCCAUCCAGAGGACAAAAGUGCCCAGAAAAGAGAAAGCAAGACCAUGUUCUCCUCAGAAUAUGUCAGCCUCAGAACCAGCCCUCACUUACUGCUGGCCUUGACAUUUAAAUGAACCCACAAAUUCUCAGUUGUUACUGAAGUGGGCUUGAGACGGUUUUUUGUCACAUUGGGUGUGCUGAAAUAGUUGUGGACUAUUAUAGAAAGGUGGCCUGAAAUUUGACAAGAAGAGGACAUAUGAAUGUCUUCUGUAAGGUUAGAUGAAGAUCCCAAUGCACUGAGUCAAGGUCUCUGAAUCGUGGGGAACAUGAGGUAGUUACCCCAAGCAGAAGCAGAGGCCACAUCCCUCAGCUCGGUGUCCAGUGGCCCCACAUUCAUUCAUACUGGGAGAUAGCAGCAAGGAAUGAUACUUUCUUUGCAAUACAUGGUACUGUCGAAAUGAAAAACUCAAUAAUCCCUUACAGGAUCUCCAUCAUUUUUUUCGGGGGUGGGGGGUAGCUAGGGACGUAUAGACUCUAUACUAACAAUCUUGGCCCUUAACUAGAAAUAUCAUGGCCGACCAGUGACCUUUUGGAUACAUAUGGACCUCAAGCCAAAUACAGCCACAGCAAGGCCACAGGCUCAUGAAGAGGAAGAAGGCAGGGUCGGUGCCCAGGCAUCCUUCGAGAAGCUCUGUCUCCAACUUUUCUCAUCUGGAAAGCCCCUCUUCCUUUUGCUCAUUGCAAAAUCUGACUUAACACUCUUUUAUCUGGCAGUGCUUAAAGUGAGUUUGACCUGAGGUCCACAAUUGCUAAUUGUUGAAAGAGAACUAGAAACACUUGCUUAAUUCCGAGGGUCAACAUCAAAAACAAACCUGACCAAAGUUGCAGAGGAGGUAUUUUACAACUAACAACAACCUUAACCUGACUUCGUUUAUCAAAUGUCCUCAGAAUUAUGAUACACCCAGAUCUUUGGCAUUGUAUUUUUUUGUCCACCGAACAAAACCGGGAAGCUACCAAAAGUCAUGCAUGGAAUUCAUGUGUACCACUAGCAGUGUGUGAGAUCAGCAGAAUGUUUCUGAAAGCUAAGAGCUGUAUUCAAAGAACUGAUCACAAUUGCAUUUGAAAUAAGUUAUCUGCCACUAUUUCUUUUGGCCAUAAUGUGGCAAAUGUUAUAUAGACAAGAAAAUAUUUAGUAAAAGUUGGAAGUAUUUGCAAAAUAUUUGUGCAGAAGUUUGCAUCUUUAAUUGUAUGACCUCAUUGUAGUUGCACAGGGAGACUCCAGCUACAUCUUAUCUUUUCAAAAUACUCCUGAGCAAUGGCUUUCCUACAACCUCUUUGGAAUGUAGCAUUAUCAGCUUCUAUUUCCCCAAUUUCCUAUAAUUCAAUAAAAAGUCAGCAAUAACAUGUCCAAGGGCAUGUUAUCUCAAAUGUGGAUUUUAAUGAAACACAAAUAUGCCCAUGCAUGUUUUAGCAAAUUGUUCUGGACCAUGCAAAAAUGCAUUAAAAGUGGAGGCAUAUUUACAUUUGUUUUGCAUUUGUUAUUUAAGAGGUCAGACUAUGCAAAGUGCAUCCACUUUUGUCAAUAGCUUCAAGGAGAAGAAAAUUUUAUUAAAGUUAGAUUCAUGACAAACAGAUGAGUUAAUAUCUGUCAUUUGGGGGAAAAGGUUUUGAGAGGCUACAUUUUUAAAAUAAUAGGCAUUUAUUACUUUUCCAAAACUGAGAAUACUUAACAAAUGUGCCUGUCUAUUUUAAACCAGGUAUACUGGUCUGCAGGUAAAUUUCCAAUUAAAAAGCCAACUUAAUUAUAAGCAGUUUACAGCACAAAGGGAGAUUGUUAUAUAGUCUGGAAUUGGCCCUGGAAAUUUUAAUAUAAAAAAUAAAAUUAGUAGUAGAAGAAUAAAAGACAUUUAGUGAUUUCCAAAAACUUUUAGAGACA